CCUGAUGCUGGGUGGUGAUGCUGCUGUGGUCAGUAUCCUGAUGCUGGGUGGUGAUGCUGCUAUGGUCAGUAUCCUGAUGCUGUGGUAGUGAUGCUGCUGUGGUCAGUAACCUGAUGCUGGGUGGUGAUGCUGCUAUGGUCAGUAUCCUGAUGCUGUGGUAGCGAUGCUGCUGUGGUCAGUAACCUGAUGCUGGGUGGUGAUGCUGCUAUGGUCAGUAUCCUGAUGCUGUGGUAGCGAUGCUGCUGUGGUCAGUAACCUGAUGCUGGGUGGUGAUGCUGCUAUGGUCAGUAUCCUGAUGCUGUGGUAGCGAUGCUGCUGUGGUCAGUAUCCUGAUGCUGGGUGGUGAUGCUGCUGUGGUCAGUAUCCUGAUGCUGUGUAGUGAUGCUGGUCAGUAACAUGUAGUUUUAGUGUGUUGUAAUGUGUUCUGCUGUUGUGGUUAGUGUCAGUGUGUAUAUAUCUGUUCCAGGCUGAAGGAAGAUGUCUCAGAGAGGGAGGUCUCAGAGAGGGAGGUCUCAGAGAGGGAGGUCUCAGAGAGGGAGGUCUCAGAGAGGGAGGUCUCAGAGAGGGAGACGCCAGAGAGGGAGGCGCCAGAGAGGGAGGCGCCAGAGAGGGAGGAGCCAGAGAGGGAGGAGCCAGGGGGACUACGGGUCAGGAGUUCUCUUCCUCCUCCUGGCUGUACCUCCUCAGCGACGUCAAUGCAUCCUUCACAGAGUGGAACAAGAUGUUCUUUACCUGGGGAGAGGACAGAGAGGAGAGGUUAAACAGGAGGGAGAGAUAGAGAGAGAGAGAUAAUUUAUAAAAUUAUGUACACCUUUAUUGGCCCAAUAGUUAAAUAAAUAAAGUUGCACUUUGCAGAAAUUGCUCCUCCAUUUCCUGGUUGCUAAAACUAAGUUUGUCUAAUUUCAUUUUGUAACAAAAUAAGAUGGUACAAUUCUCAAAACCGCUGUGAAAUAUAUUUUCCAGAACCAAGAAUAUUGGUUACCACUUUACUUGACACCCAGCGUCAUAACCUGUUAUAUAUCUCAUAUAUAUAUAUAUAUACAGUUUGACCCAAGACCCCUGUCCUGGUCCCCUGUACCCCUGUCCUGGUCCCCUGUACCCCUGUCCUGGUCCCCUGUGCCCC
This is a long non-coding RNA of Oncorhynchus tshawytscha (Chinook salmon), 1123 nucleotides long. NCBI's taxonomy places the organism in Eukaryota, Metazoa, Chordata, Actinopteri, Salmoniformes, Salmonidae. The record is from Ensembl.